Molecule: small nucleolar RNA, 116 nt
Organism: Suncus etruscus (white-toothed pygmy shrew)
Lineage: Eukaryota; Metazoa; Chordata; Mammalia; Eulipotyphla; Soricidae
Product: small nucleolar RNA SNORA26
Exons: 1
Source: RefSeq, a predicted model, not a curated record
UUGCCUCUUAAAGAUGAUUCAGUAGUUGCUAAUACAUAAGGGUAAAGUAUGUCUCCAUACAACUCAGAGAAUAGAUAGUACAAACUCCUCUUUGGAUCUUACCUAAAGACAUUGAA